This 253-nucleotide unclassified non-coding RNA is filed under the name uncultured Bacteroidota bacterium. RNAcentral describes it as "uncultured Bacteroidetes bacterium contains 16S-23S intergenic spacer region". It matches the Rfam family "Bacterial small subunit ribosomal RNA", at positions 524 to 776 of the family's 1533-position model. Lineage: Bacteria; Pseudomonadati; Bacteroidota. The record is from RNAcentral.
UACGUAGGUGGCAAGCGUUGUCCGGAAUCAUUGGGUGUAAAGGGUGCGUAGGUGGGAGCCUAAGUCUGUGGUGAAAUCUUGCCGCUUAACGGUAAAAUGGCCAUAGAUACUGGGUUUCUUGAGUACAGAAGAGGUCGGUGGAAUUCGUAGUGUAGCGGUGAAAUGCAUAGAUAUUACGAAGAACAUCAGUGGCGAAGGCGGCCGGCUGGACUGUAACUGACACUGAGGCACGAAAGCGUGGGGAGCGAACAGG